RNAcentral lists this ribosomal RNA (119 nucleotides) under Pteropus alecto (black flying fox). Lineage: Eukaryota; Metazoa; Chordata; Mammalia; Chiroptera; Pteropodidae. The record is from RNAcentral.
GUCUACGGCCAUGCCACCCUGAACAAGCCCGAUCUCAUCUGAUCUCGGAAACUAAGCAGGGUCAGGCCUGGUUAGUACUUGGAUGGGAGACCACCUAGGAAGACCAGGUGCUGUAGGUG